Molecule: long non-coding RNA, 558 nt
Organism: Sebastes umbrosus (honeycomb rockfish)
Lineage: Eukaryota; Metazoa; Chordata; Actinopteri; Perciformes; Sebastidae
Exons: 2
Source: RefSeq, a predicted model, not a curated record
AUGUCAGGACAGGAGAUGCUUUGCUUUUUUUUUGGUGUGCAUGUGAAGCAGAUUUGGGAGCAUUUCAAAAAAGUCUGAUAAAAAGCAAUCCAAUAUAAUCUUACUCUAAUCCAAUGUUUUGUCAGCGGUAUUAUACCUCUGUGCUUUUGGAUAUCUUGACCUAUUAGUGGCUGCGUGACAUUUAGAAAUGGUAUUAUAUAUUUGUUAUUAUUAGUUAUGAACAAAGAUGAUGUGCACUUGGAACACUGGGAGUGUGCAUUUUCCUGACUGCCCCAAAAUGUAACACACCCCCUUAAUAAAAAAAAGCUAGCUCAAACAACACACCAAAAAAACGCCUAAAAACACCUUUUUAAAACAAUAAUAAUAUGAAUUCCUGGGUGCUAACGACAGAAAAACACAACAAAAAGUUCAUUUUCUCUGCAUGGUUUGUUUAAAGCAUCGAGCAUAUGAGUUUUAGGAGACAAUAGCACUGCUGUCAAAACACAAAAGCAUGUCAAAAAAAGCUAACGGUUUGCAAAAAUGUCGGUUAGAAAGUUGGUGUAAAAAAAAAAAAAAAAA